UCGAGGUUUGUCAUAUCACUUGCC
This 24-nucleotide non-coding RNA is filed under the name Arabidopsis thaliana (thale cress). Lineage: Eukaryota; Viridiplantae; Streptophyta; Magnoliopsida; Brassicales; Brassicaceae. The record is from RNAcentral.